GUCGACGCUUCUUUUUCCCCGGAGCUUGCUCCACCGGAAAAAGAAGAGUGGCGAACGGGUGAGUAACACGUGGGUAACCUGCCCAUCAGAAGGGGAUAACACUUGGAAACAGGUGCUAAUACCGUAUAACAAUCAAAACCGCAUGGUUUUGAUUUGAAAGGCGCUUUCGGGUGUCGCUGAUGGAUGGACCCGCGGUGCAUUAGCUAGUUGGUGAGGUAACGGCUCACCAAGGCCACGAUGCAUAGCCGACCUGAGAGGGUGAUCGGCCACAUUGGGACUGAGACACGGCCCAAACUCCUACGGGAGGCAGCAGUAGGGAAUCUUCGGCAAUGGACGAAAGUCUGACCGAGCAACGCCGCGUGAGUGAAGAAGGUUUUCGGAUCGUAAAACUCUGUUGUUAGAGAAGAACAAGGAUGAGAGUAACUGUUCAUCCCUUGACGGUAUCUAACCAGAAAGCCACGGCUAACUACGUGCCAGCAGCCGCGGUAAUACGUAGGUGGCAAGCGUUGUCCGGAUUUAUUGGGCGUAAAGCGAGCGCAGGCGGUUUCUUAAGUCUGAUGUGAAAGCCCCCGGCUCAACCGGGGAGGGUCAUUGGAAACUGGGAGACUUGAGUGCAGAAGAGGAGAGUGGAAUUCCAUGUGUAGCGGUGAAAUGCGUAGAUAUAUGGAGGAACACCAGUGGCGAAGGCGGCUCUCUGGUCUGUAACUGACGCUGAGGCUCGAAAGCGUGGGGAGCAAACAGGAUUAGAUACCCUGGUAGUCCACGCCGUAAACGAUGAGUGCUAAGUGUUGGAGGGUUUCCGCCCUUCAGUGCUGCAGCUAACGCAUUAAGCACUCCGCCUGGGGAGUACGACCGCAAGGUUGAAACUCAAAGGAAUUGACGGGGGCCCGCACAAGCGGUGGAGCAUGUGGUUUAAUUCGAAGCAACGCGAAGAACCUUACCAGGUCUUGACAUCCUUUGACCACUCUAGAGAUAGAGCUUCCCCUUCGGGGGCAAAGUGACAGGUGGUGCAUGGUUGUCGUCAGCUCGUGUCGUGAGAUGUUGGGUUAAGUCCCGCAACGAGCGCAACCCUUAUUGUUAGUUGCCAUCAUUCAGUUG
Molecule: ribosomal RNA, 1098 nt
Filed under: Enterococcus faecium
Lineage: Bacteria; Bacillati; Bacillota; Bacilli; Lactobacillales; Enterococcaceae
Description: bacterial SSU rRNA
Rfam family: Bacterial small subunit ribosomal RNA
Source: RNAcentral